This 629-nucleotide long non-coding RNA is filed under the name Nicotiana benthamiana. Its description in RNAcentral is "long non-coding RNA (NBEN_LNC023986)". Lineage: Eukaryota; Viridiplantae; Streptophyta; Magnoliopsida; Solanales; Solanaceae. The record is from RNAcentral.
UCUCUUACUAUGUUUCCUAUAAUAUAUUCUCACUUGCUUUCUAAUGUGUUUUCAUGCAGUUUUCUCUACUAUGUUCUUGUCUUCUUUGACCGAGUUUUACACUCCGUACUUGUAUGUUCUUCUACUGUGUUUUCUAUGCCAUCUUCUCGCAUGCUUUGUUACUAUGUUCUGCUAUCUUCUUCUAUGAUGUGUUGUGUUUCUCCUAUUGUAUCAUUCUACCAUGUUCUUAAGUAUUCCUGCUAUUUUUACUGGGUUUUAAGUUUUCUCCUAUAAAAUACCUGUUUAAAUAUGUGUUGCUUCUAAUAUCUCAUCCACUAUUACUUGUUCCCUUGUUAUACUUCGAAUUAGCUUUUUCACUCUAUUUACUUAACCUUUCUAGUUUGCAUGUUCUCUCACGAGUUUCUGAAAAGAAAUCCUUAAGUUGGUUGCCUCCUGAUCUCUGUGUUUGAUCCGAUCUGAAACUCUAUAUUUUGGGGUUUUACUUUGGCAAUUUGGUUUUGAGUUUGAGUUUUGAUUCCACUUUGGAACACUGGACUCACAGACUCAUUGAGAGUCUGCAUUUGAACUUGUACCCCUUUGCUUUUGACCCUGAACCUCUCAAUAUAGGCUAAUUGUUUCCUAAAUUGCAU